AGAACGAACGCUGGCGGCAGGCCUAAUACAUGCAAGUCGAACGCACUCUUCGGAGUGAGUGGCAGGCGGGUGAGUAACGCGUGGAAACCUUCCCAAUAGUACGGAAUAACUCCGGGAAACCGGUGCUAAUACCGUAUAAGCCCUUCGGGGGAAAGAUUUAUCGCUAUUGGAUGGGUCCGCGUCGGAUUAGCUUGUUGGUAGGGUAAUGGCCUACCAAGGCGACGAUCCGUAGCUGGUCUGAGAGGAUGAUCAGCCACACUGGGACUGAGACACGGCCCAGACUCCUACGGGAGGCAGCAGUAGGGAAUCCUGGACAAUGGGCGAAAGCCUGAUCCAGCCAUGCCGCGUGAGUGAAGAAGGCCUUAGGGUUGUAAAGCUCUUUUGGCGGGGACGAUAAUGACGGUACCCGCAGAAUAAGCCCGGCUAACUUCGUGCUAGCAGCCGC
Molecule: ribosomal RNA, 445 nt
Filed under: uncultured bacterium
Lineage: Bacteria
Description: SSU rRNA
Rfam family: Bacterial small subunit ribosomal RNA
Source: RNAcentral